This 245-nucleotide ribosomal RNA is filed under the name uncultured bacterium. Its description in RNAcentral is "partial small subunit ribosomal RNA". It matches the Rfam family "Bacterial small subunit ribosomal RNA", at positions 26 to 285 of the family's 1533-position model. The record is from RNAcentral.
AGAAUCAACGCUGGCGGCGUGCCUAACACAUGCAAGUCGAACGAGAAAGUGGAGCAAUCCAUGAGUAAAGUGGCGCACGGGUGAGUAACACGUGACUAACCUACCCUUGAGUGGGGGAUAACCUAGGGAAACCUGGGCUAAUACCGCAUAAUACCGAGAGGUCAAAGGAGCAAUUCGCUUAAGGAGGGGGUCGCGGCCGAUUAGUUAGUUGGCGGGGUAAUGGCCCACCAAGACUAUGAUCGGUA